Molecule: small RNA, 560 nt
Filed under: uncultured Marasmiaceae
Lineage: Eukaryota; Fungi; Basidiomycota; Agaricomycetes; Agaricales
Description: eukaryotic LSU rRNA
Rfam family: 5.8S ribosomal RNA (bases 99-252)
Source: RNAcentral
UUAAGUCGAUUUGAAAGGCUUCUAUGUCUUACAAACUAGUUAAGCAUGUUUUAGAAUGUUGUUUUACUGGGACUUUAUUGACCCUUUAAACUUUGUACAACUUUCAGCAACGGAUCUCUUGGCUCUCCCAUCGAUGAAGAACGCAGCGAAAUGCGAUAAGUAAUGUGAAUUGCAGAAUUCAGUGAAUCAUCGAAUCUUUGAACGCACCUUGCGCCCUCUGGUAUUCCGGAGGGCAUGCCUGUUUGAGUGUCAUUAAAUUCUCAACUUCAAUAGUUUAUUAAUGAACUUGUUGAAGCUUGGACUUGGAGGCUUUGCUGGCGUCUUUAGAUGUUCGGCUCCUCUUAAAUGCAUUAGUGGAACCCGUUUGUUGGACCAUCCUUGGUGUGAUAAUUAUCUACGCUUUGGUUAGUUCAAUGAACUCUAUGGGCAUCAGUUAACGCUGGAUCUUUUUUCAUUAAGUUGCUUUACCUGGGCUCAUUAGAGAAAAUCCCUCUGCUCUCUAAUCGUCUGUGUAUACGGACAAUUUACUUGACCAUUGACCUCAAAUCAGGUCGACAGCC